RNAcentral lists this microRNA (21 nucleotides) under Sus scrofa (pig). RNAcentral describes it as "ssc-miR-1839-3p". The record is from miRBase by way of RNAcentral. Lineage: Eukaryota; Metazoa; Chordata; Mammalia; Artiodactyla; Suidae.
AGACCUACUUUUCUACCAACA